Molecule: long non-coding RNA, 320 nt
Organism: Mytilus californianus (California mussel)
Lineage: Eukaryota; Metazoa; Mollusca; Bivalvia; Mytilida; Mytilidae
Exons: 3
Source: RefSeq, a predicted model, not a curated record
UAGAGAAGAAAGAAUAUGCAAUCAUGCAGAUGCCAUGGAAAAUAUGAACUUGGCCGUCUUUGAUCUUAUAUCUUGAUUUGACGGAACCGUGCAAAUGUUUUACGAUCGGGCAAAAUAGAAAGUCCAGAUGAUUGGUUCAUGUAAGAAAAUGAUGUAAGGAAGUAAUAUAUUUUAUGUUCAACUGCGUUCGUUAGAGUUACAUCUUCCCGAGAUUUAUAGUGAAAAAAGUAUAUCUGGUCGAUAAGGAAAACUGUUAAUUUGACAUUAAUUCAAAAACAAUACGGUAUGAAUGCGGCUUUUUUGUCUAUUUUCCAGUGGUG